CUGUAGGAGUUCUUCAUGUUUUCCUCAGAGCUGGGAGAAAAAUGUGAAGCAAUAAGUGAGAAAUUGGUGCAUCUGGAAGAUCAACUGCAGACUUCCGCCUGCAGAGUUGACGAAGGAGUUAUUCAGGCUCUGCAGAGGGAGAUCCAGGUGGUGAAGGAGACACUCCAGACCGUGCUGGUGCAGCUUCAGCCAGCCAGAGAGGCAGGAGAAGAAAAGGCUGGAGACUUCCUCUGUGACAGCUGGUGUCCAGGAAAACAGGACUUGAAGGAAUAAUGAGCAGAAAGAGCUGGUAGGAUGACAUUAAUUCACAAAGGGCUGCUUUUAGUAACUGAAUACUAUUUUACCAAGCCUCAGGGAUCUCUUUCUCCCUGCAUAACUAAUAACUAAAUCAAUUAUGGAGAAACAGAGCCUGGAGGUCCAUCAUCAGAAGUAUUCCACACAGCCUCGCAUGUUUUGGCACAGAUUGGGAAACAGCUUUCAGAACAGAGCAUCCCCUGUAAAUGUGUAGAUUACAAAUUGAUACAUUUCAAGUGAGUCUGCAAAGUUGCCUUUCAUGUCAGUGAAAUGUUCUUCUUGAAGAUUCAUAAACAAUGUGUCUUCCUUACUCAUGGACUCUUUUUUUUUUUUCCCCCUCCCUGAUCUUAAAAUGUAGUGUUAAAGCUGGAACUUCUAGUAUUUCUUAAAAAAAAGAUGUAAGAAUAAGAACAACUUCCUCCCCCCUCCUCCUUGGCUUUAACAGCUUCCUUACACUGAAUGUAUUUUCACAUUCCUGCCAAUAAUUAAAUCAAUAGGAUGAAAUUUAAGCUUACCAAGUUCUUUCAACUGAAAUUGGGUCCUCGUUUACUCAGUGGUAUUGAGUACAGCAGAGGUAACCAACAGCAGCCCCUAGAGCAGUAGUCUCACUCUUUUCAUUUAGGUAUUAAUAUAAACUUGCUUUAGUAUUACCAGGGUUAUAAAGCA
Molecule: long non-coding RNA, 960 nt
Organism: Eurypyga helias (sunbittern)
Lineage: Eukaryota; Metazoa; Chordata; Aves; Eurypygiformes; Eurypygidae
Exons: 2
Source: RefSeq, a predicted model, not a curated record